UACAGAGGUCUCGAGCGUUAGGCGGAAUCACUGGGCUUAAAGCGUGUGUAGGCGGAUCGUUAAGUGCCUUGUGAAAUCCCAUGGCUUAACCAUGGAACUGCUUGGCAUACUGGCGGUCUUGAGCCACUUAGGGGCAACCGGAACAAAUGGUGGAGCGGUGAAAUGCGUAGAUAUCGUUUGGAACGCCGAAGGUGAAGACAGGCAACUGGGAGUGCGCCGACGCUGAGACGCGAAAGCCAGGGGAGCAAACGGG
RNAcentral lists this ribosomal RNA (253 nucleotides) under uncultured bacterium. RNAcentral describes it as "partial 16S ribosomal RNA". It matches the Rfam family "Bacterial small subunit ribosomal RNA", at positions 524 to 776 of the family's 1533-position model. The record is from RNAcentral.